This 511-nucleotide ribosomal RNA is filed under the name uncultured bacterium. RNAcentral describes it as "partial 16S ribosomal RNA". The record is from RNAcentral.
GGAGUUAGCCGGUGCUUCUUCUGUGAGUUGAUGUCCUUCCUGCCGGCUAUUAACCCGCAGGCCUUCUUCCUCACUGAAAGUGCUUUACAACCCGAAGGCCUUCUUCACACACGCGGCAUGGCUGGAUCAGGGUUGCCCCCAUUGUCCAAUAUUCCCCACUGCUGCCUCCCGUAGGAGUCUGGGCCGUGUCUCAGUCCCAGUGUGGCUGAUCAUCCUCUCAGACCAGCUACGGAUCGUCGCCUUGGUGAGCCGUUACCUCACCAACCAGCUAAUCCGACAUAGGCUCAUCCGAUAGCGCGAGGCCCGAAGGUCCCCCGCUUUACCCCCGUAGGGCGUACUGCGGUAUUAGCCUGGGUUUCCCCCAGGUUAUCCCCCACUACCGGGCAGAUUCCUAUGCAUUACUCACCCGUCCGCCGCUCGCCACCAGGGAGCAAGCUCCCCGUGCUGCCGCUCGACUUGCAUGUGUUAGGCCUGCCGCCAGCGUUCAAUCUGAGCCAGAAUCGAACCCUGA